This 421-nucleotide ribosomal RNA is filed under the name Oxyrrhis marina. RNAcentral's name for it is "partial Bacterial small subunit ribosomal RNA". It matches the Rfam family "Bacterial small subunit ribosomal RNA", at positions 1110 to 1532 of the family's 1533-position model. Lineage: Eukaryota; Dinophyceae; Oxyrrhinales; Oxyrrhinaceae. The record is from RNAcentral.
GAUAGUUGCCAUCAUUUGGUUGGGCACUUUAUCGAGACUGCCGGUGACAAACCGGAGGAAGGUGGGGAUGACGUCAAAUCAUCAUGCCCCUUAUGUCUUGGGCUUCACGCAUGCUACAAUGGCCGGUACAAAGGGCUGCAAUACCGUAAGGUGGAGCGAAUCCCAAAAAGCCGGUCUCAGUUCGGAUUGGGGUCUGCAACUCGACCCCAUGAAGUCGGAAUCGCUAGUAAUCGCGUAACAGCAUGACGCGGUGAAUACGUUCCCGGGCCUUGUACACACCGCCCGUCACACCAUGGGAGUGGGUUGCUCCAGAAGUGGUUAGCCUAACCUUCGGGAGGGCGAUCACCACGGAGUGAUUCAUGACUGGGGUGAAGUCGUAACAAGGUAGCCCUAGGGGAACCUGGGGCUGGAUCACCUCCUU